This 1890-nucleotide long non-coding RNA is filed under the name Populus trichocarpa (black cottonwood). RNAcentral describes it as "long non-coding RNA (PTRI_LNC002954)". The record is from RNAcentral. Lineage: Eukaryota; Viridiplantae; Streptophyta; Magnoliopsida; Malpighiales; Salicaceae.
GAUAGUCUGUCAGACAACCGCAUGAUCAUCCCCAUCCAAAUCUAUGUUUGGGGAACGAUCCUCUACAACCAUGAUGAUCACGAGGAUCAACAAGCCAUUACUCACGCUAUGAUCACACGGUCAUGAUUCCUCAACCAGACUUAGGUUCCUGUCUCCUUAGUGUUAAAGGAUACAGAGGUACGAUCCUAUAGAACAGAUCCUGUUCAAGUAAGGUCGUGGCUGUUCCUGUUCCUCCACGCUUUAUUAGUUACUUUACUUCUUCGUUUGUUUCCGAUGUGGGAUCCUGGUUAAUGCUUCGUUCCAGGGUAUAUUUGUCCAGAAGAAGAAAGUUUGCGCGCCUUGUGCUUCUCAAAGUCCUGAUAAAAUCCAGAGGAGAGUGCAGUGAAAGUACUAGGAUACCCCCUGAGCUGCUGCGUUGUUAUUGCGGUAGUAUUUGUUAAUUUUAUACGGACAACAACUAGGAGGCUUCUUGGGAGUGUAAUAGUCAAGAGUUUGAAGCUUUUACAGGUUUUCCAUUACACUUUAUGCUUGGCAGUAGCCAUACUGAUGACAUUAGAGUUGUGCCCUAUUUGCAGAAUUAGAUCUUGAAUUGGCCAAAAUUUGUCACGAACUUUUUUGAACAAAUUAGAUUGUCUUCGAUUGUGACCAUUGAGCUAUUGGCCAUUGGAUAUGUACUCCUUAAGCAGCUGUGAGCUGAGCCUGGUAAGUUAACUUCGUACUGAAGAACAGAUAAAAGAAAGUGCGUAUGGAUUUUGCAGCGUCUUUGCCACAAGAAACAUUGGACUUCAUUAAGGUGUUAGUCAGUGAUGAUGAAUGGUAACUACAGACACAAGAGUUUAGCGUCUGUGCAUAUAUCCAUUGUCUUGUGUCUAUCUAACCAGGAGGGGAACCCUGCAAAACUUCUUUACACGUCAGUCAAGGCCUUCGUCUGCCCUAACAUACUUCUUUCCAAAGUGUUUUCUUGGUUCCAUGAGUGUGGGGAUGGUGAGGCAAGCAAUGGCCAGAACUGAUUCCCCCAUUCUUGUACUUUCCUACCAACCAUCUUUGAAUUUUGCCUCAAACCUUGUUCACUGCCUUCAAGUAGUUGCUUGAUUCAUGGUCUCUUGGAAUUGUACCUUCGGAGCCGUAGGCCGUGGGAUCGCUAAGAGUUUCCAGUGGACGGGGACAAUUCAGGAACGGCACUUGCAGAGAACCCAUGAUGGGUUUUAUCAAAAGGGUGUGACUGGAAGGAGCCAUCAAAUUGCUUGAGGACUAUAUAUCUCUACACAAAAGACGUGUCGGGCUGAGCAUUGAGAUCUUGAAAAUCAUCGGGAUUAGUUGGCUCUCGUGUUCUCUGGAUCCUUGAUGGAACUGGGGCUAGGAAAGCUAAAAAAAAAAAAUUAGUCUGUCAGACAACCGCAUGACCAUCCCAAGCCAGAACAUGACCGGGGAACGAUCCUCUACAGCCAUGAUGAUCACGAGAAUCAUCAAACCAUUACUCACGCUAUGAUCACACGGUCAUGAUUCCUCAACCAGACUUAGGUUCCUGUCUCCUUAGUGUUAAAGGAUACAGAGGUACGAUCCUAUAGAACAGAUCCUGUUCAAGUAAGGUCGUGACUCGCCUAGUUCCUCCACUACUUUAUUAAUUUGGUUACUGAUUAGUUUGUUGCCGAUGUGGGAUGUUUGUCAAUGCUUCGUUCCAGGGUAUUUCUGUCCAGAAGAAGAAAGUUUGCGCGCCCUGUGCUUCUCAAGGUAUUGAAAAAAUAAAAAAAAAUUGUAAGGUGAAUAUUGUGACUGUGGUCAUCUCGCACACCAUUACAUGUGAACAGUAUAUAAAAAUUGUAAGGUAAAUUAAACUAACAUAAUACUAAGCGGAGUUUCUAAAUAUUUUUUAUUUAUUUUAAAUAUUUA